This 490-nucleotide ribosomal RNA is filed under the name uncultured bacterium. Its description in RNAcentral is "partial 16S ribosomal RNA". It matches the Rfam family "Bacterial small subunit ribosomal RNA", at positions 30 to 507 of the family's 1533-position model. The record is from RNAcentral.
AUUGAACGCUGGCGGCAGGCCUAACACAUGCAAGUCGAACGGUAACAGGAAGAAGCUUGCUUCUUUGCUGACGAGUGGCGGACGGGUGAGUAAUGUCUGGGAAACUGCCUGAUGGAGGGGGAUAACUACUGGAAACGGUAGCUAAUACCGCAUAACGUCGCAAGACCAAAGAGGGGGACCUUCGGGCCUCUUGCCAUCGGAUGUGCCCAGAUGGGAUUAGCUAGUAGGUGGGGUAACGGCUCACCUAGGCGACGAUCCCUAGCUGGUCUGAGAGGAUGACCAGCCACACUGGAACUGAGACACGGUCCAGACUCCUACGGGAGGCAGCAGUGGGGAAUAUUGUACAAUGGGCGCAAGCCUGAUGCAGCCAUGCCGCGUGUAUGAAGAAGGCCUUCGGGUUGUAAAGUACUUUCAGCGGGGAGGAAGGGAGUAAAGUUAAUACCUUUGCUCAUUGACGUUACCCGCAGAAGAAGCACCGGCUAACUCCGUG